GAGUUUGAUCCUGGCUCAGAAUGAACGCUGGCGGCGUGCCUUACACAUGCAAGUCGAGCGAGGCCGGGUAGCAAUACCCGAGUCGAGCGGCGAACGGGGUGAGUAACACGUGGAUUAUCUGCCCUGAGGUGGGGGAUAACCCGGGGAAACUCGGGCUAAUACCGCAUAUGACCGUGAGGUCAAAGGGGGGUCGCAAGAUCUCUCGCCAUUGGAGGAGUCCGCGUCCGAUUAGCUAGUUGGUAGGGUAAUGGCCUACCAAGGCGACGAUCGGUAGCCGGCCUGAGAGGGUGAUCGGCCACACUGGAACUGAGACACGGUCCAGACUCCUACGGGAGGCAGCAGUGGGGAAUUUUGCGCAAUGGGCUAACGCCUGACGCAGCAACGCCGCGUGGAGGAUGAAGGUCCUUGGAUUGUAAACUCCUGUCAGCAGGGAAAAAGCAAUCUAGCCUCAUACGCUAGAGAGUUGAUUGUACCUGCAGAGGAAGCCCGGCUAACUCUGUGCCAGCAGCCGC
This 512-nucleotide ribosomal RNA is filed under the name uncultured bacterium. RNAcentral's name for it is "bacterial SSU rRNA". It matches the Rfam family "Bacterial small subunit ribosomal RNA", at positions 9 to 518 of the family's 1533-position model. The record is from RNAcentral.